UCUGGGAAGAGUUCUGAGAGGAGUUCGUUGGGAGUUGUGGGUGGGUAGUUGGUUGGAUUUCAUGGGUUGGCUGGUUGGGAAAGGCAGUUGGUAAUAGAGAGACAGUUAGGGCAGUUGGUCCUUGAGUGUGGGGAGGUAGCAGAGAUAGAGAGAGGAACAUAAGACUAAGAAAGUAAAGAGGAACACCGUUUGGAAUGCGGCAAAAGUUUUGUUUUAUCUCUGAAAUAAAAUACACUCUUCUUUAUUGAACUCUCUGAUGAAAACUUAGAGUACUUGGUGGUGGGUAAGAAAAUGCUGGGAGGAAGAACUGUCAGAGAAGCUUUGGAGAGGAUGGAUGAAAGGGAGAUUUUGGACACCAUCCUCCAACACCUCCAGCCACCUCCCCAGGUGUGUGUGAUGCAGGGUGGAUUUGAUUGAAAUCAAAUCAAUUUAAAACAUAUUUUUACAUUCUUGCUUGUAUAAUCUUAAUAUUUACAACCAGAUGAAGGUUUCAUUUUGGGAAUAAUAAAUUUCCAGAGUAGUUUUUA
Long non-coding RNA from Podarcis raffonei (Aeolian wall lizard), 527 nucleotides. RefSeq lists it as uncharacterized. The transcript is spliced from 2 exons. The record is from RefSeq and is a predicted model, not a curated record. Lineage: Eukaryota; Metazoa; Chordata; Lepidosauria; Squamata; Lacertidae.